AUAAUUGCCUUAAGAGAAGAGAUACCAUCAUCACGAGGGUGCUUUUCCCAGGGCGAGGCUCAUCCAUUGCACUCCAGAUGUGCUGACCCCUGCGAUUUCCCCAAAUGUGCGAAACUCGACUGCAUAAUUUGUGGUAGUGGAGGGCUGCAUUCACGCUUUCCCCUG
Molecule: small nuclear RNA, 165 nt
Organism: Tupaia belangeri (northern tree shrew)
Lineage: Eukaryota; Metazoa; Chordata; Mammalia; Scandentia; Tupaiidae
Gene: U1
Rfam family: U1 spliceosomal RNA
About the family: U1 is a small nuclear RNA (snRNA) component of the spliceosome (involved in pre-mRNA splicing). Its 5' end forms complementary base pairs with the 5' splice junction, thus defining the 5' donor site of an intron.
Source: Ensembl